AUGGCCUCCCUUAUUCAUGAUGAGAAUUGGUAUCAAGUUAUGUGUAUGCUAAAGGCUUUAUCUGGUGGCUGUGGUGGCUGUGCCUCAGUUCAGCACAGGAAGAGUUUGGUGGCAGGAGAACAGAAGAUGGAUCUGAACAAUAAGUGGCAGCAGAACUGCACAGAGUGCUGGAGACUGAGGACAAGGAACUACCUACAGAGAGAAGGAAUCUGCCGACAUAGGAAUAUGAAAGAGAAAAAACACAGUGAGGAAAAUAAUUUUGAGCAUAUUUGGGAAAAUAUCAGAACGGGCAAGGUUGAACUGAGUGUAGUCAAGUCAAGAUUUCUUCUCUGAAUGUUCAGAUUGCACAAGUAGUUUAGUACUAUUAACUUUUUACCCAAAAAUGAUUGCAGAACUUAUGAGCAUCAGGAAAAUAUUCUGUGAAACACAAAAUGCUAAUUGACAUUCCCAGGGUAAUUCUCAGGCAGAGAGGACAUUUACAAAUUGUAAGUAUUCCAUAGGUACAAAUGAUUAGACAGGGAAAUCUGAAGACAUGCUAAGGACAGAGAGAAAUUUUAAAAAAAGGUUAAUUAAUCACAGUGUAUUGUUCUUUUUUUUCCUACUUUUGUGUAUAUAUCAUUGUUGUUUCAUGUCAUAUAAAAGCAUGCUGGUCCAUUUAGAAAAGAAAGUGCAACUUUUCUGUCGAGGAACAUUGGCAGGUUUUCCACCACUAGUUCUUAUUCCUUAGGACACUGUCUUGUUCCCAAGCACCUGUUAGUUCUGUGAUGAUUCUGCAAAUCCCCUCUGUUUGAGGAAAAAGACAGCAAAUUAACAGCAAAGGCAGCAGAGAGAAAACUCCCGAGCAGGUCGCAGGUCAGUCAGUGCUGUCCCAGUCGUUCAGCCUCCUAUUUGCCUUGCAGUACAGCUGCAGGACAUAUGUUUUCAAUAUAGCUUCUUCUAAAGCAGUGAGGGGAUUGCAGAUUUGGUUUUAUGGUAUCAAGAAAAAGAUUCUCUGGCAGAUAUUUCCAUGGCCUGGUUCUGCAAGUACUCAUUCUUGGAUGCAUGAUUGUGGAAACAGUCACCAGGAAAUGGGGGAGGGAGUUGUCUGAAGACCCUCACUUGUCCCUAGUUAAUCAGCUGGGUGUUAGCAUGGGCAGCUCUGUAACUCCAGGGUGAGUUCAGCAACAGAGCAGCUGUGGCAGCAGAACCCUGCUCUGCGAUAUCUCAGCGGCUCUGUUGAGCUACACGUAUUGCUCGUGCAGCAGGACGCGGCAGAUGGGCUGGGGGGAUGCUACUUGCUGUGUGUGCUAAAGGUAGUUCGUGUUGGUUAAUGCCCAGAUUUGCUGGAAAUACUGCUUGACUUCUUCAGCAGGCCAGAAAUCAUCAUACAAUAAAAAAGAACGUGUCAUUACUUUAACA
Molecule: long non-coding RNA, 1398 nt
Filed under: Anas platyrhynchos platyrhynchos (common mallard)
Lineage: Eukaryota; Metazoa; Chordata; Aves; Anseriformes; Anatidae
Description: lncRNA (ENSAPLG00000016503.1)
Source: RNAcentral